AAACCUCUUUCUACCUUUUGGUGGGAGACUUGUCGGUUGUGCCCCUCGGGGUACUCUGAUUAAAUGCAGUAGGUCUGGAUCAGGCUAGUGGCCUGGGACACUGUGUGUUAGAGACGUCGCGUUGUUGACUGUCUUCUCAUAGUGCGUCCUAGGCUAUUCAAGCUGGCCUGGUCAAGCCUUCUAGUCGGUGCGUAUGCGCUGACAACCCCCCU
RNAcentral lists this unclassified non-coding RNA (212 nucleotides) under uncultured Rozellomycota. RNAcentral's name for it is "uncultured Cryptomycota sequence contains ITS2". The record is from RNAcentral. Lineage: Eukaryota; Fungi; Rozellomycota.